GAUGAACGCUGGCGGCGUGCUUAACACAUGCAAGUCGAACGGAAAGGCCGAAGCUUGCUUCGGUACUCGAGUGGCGAACGGGUGAGUAACACGUGGGUGAUCUGCCCUGUACUUCGGGAUAAGCUUGGGAAACUGGGUCUAAUACCGGAUAUGACAAUCUCUUGGAUGGGGUUGUGGAAAGCUUUUGCGGUAUGGGAUGAGCUCGCGGCCUAUCAGCUUGUUGGUGGGGUAAUGGCCUACCAAGGCGUCGACGGGUAGCCGGCCUGAGAGGGUGUACGGCCACAUUGGGACUGAGAUACGGCCCAGACUCCUACGGGAGGCAGCAGUGGGGAAUAUUGCACAAUGGGCGCAAGCCUGAUGCAGCGACGCCGCGUGGGGGAUGACGGCCUUCGGGUUGUAAACUCCUUUCGCAACCGACGAAACUUUUGUGACGGUAGGUUGAGAAGAAGCACCGGCUAACUACGUG
This 466-nucleotide ribosomal RNA is filed under the name uncultured bacterium. RNAcentral describes it as "partial 16S ribosomal RNA". It matches the Rfam family "Bacterial small subunit ribosomal RNA", at positions 28 to 507 of the family's 1533-position model. The record is from RNAcentral.